GAUGAAGAACGCAGCGAAAUGCGAUAAGUAAUGUGAAUUGCAGAACUCAGUGAAUCAUCGAAUCUUUGAACGCACAUUGCGCCCCCUGGUAUUCCGGGGGGCAUGCCUGUUCGAGCGUCAUUUCACCACUCAAGCCUCGCUUGGUAUUGGGCAUCGCGGUCCGCCGCGCGCCUCAAAUCGACCGGCUGGGUCUUCUGUCCCCUAAGCGUUGUGGAAACUAUUCGCUAAAGGGUGUUCGGGAGGCUACGCCGUAAAACAACCCCAUUUCUAAGGUUGACCUCGGAUCAGGUAGGGAUACCCGCUGAACUUAAGCAUAUCAAUAAGCGGAGGA
RNAcentral lists this unclassified non-coding RNA (331 nucleotides) under soil metagenome. RNAcentral's name for it is "partial contains 5.8S ribosomal RNA, internal transcribed spacer 2, and large subunit ribosomal RNA". The stretch from base 1 to 120 matches the Rfam family "5.8S ribosomal RNA", at positions 35 to 154 of the family's 154-position model. The record is from RNAcentral.